This is an RNA transcript of Alosa sapidissima (American shad), 1344 nucleotides long. RefSeq lists it as uncharacterized. The transcript has 6 exons. The record is from RefSeq and is a predicted model, not a curated record. NCBI's taxonomy places the organism in Eukaryota, Metazoa, Chordata, Actinopteri, Clupeiformes, Clupeidae.
GAUCACUGAGUACUGUCGGUAGGCCUAUACCACCUCUGGUAUGUUUGUACGUUAUGUUACGGUAUUGCAGAUUCAGGAAGUCCAGAACACCCGCCAUACAGUGGGGUAGAGCACUCUGAGUGGUUAUCCAGUGGUCCGAGGGUAAACAAGCAAACAAUGAAGACAUUUUGGCAUUGUUUAGACUAGGUUUUACCAUCUGUGUGACUUUUUCGCUGUACCUCGCCAAUUCUGUUAAUCAGUUCACCAGUGUGUUUUAUGUAGUGGGUGGAGGUGAAACUCUCCUGCAUGGAAAGGCUGGAUGACUCUCUGAAGAAGCAGUGGUGGCACCUGACCAACACCUUCUACGUGGAGACCCCAGAGGGAAACCGUGAGCAGUACGCUUCUGUGAAACUUGUCACCUACAUCCAGCGGUACUGUGGUGGGAUUGUCCAUGUGUCGUUCCGCAUCGAGACGGAGGCCAACUUUCAUCUGGAGAUGGAUGGAAUCCAGAUGGUCGAGAUUUCUAAGACCUUCCAGGAAAUUACCAUCUCUACAGAUGGAAGGGUGUCGACCACAGAGCGAACUCAAACCUUCAUACCUUCCCUACUCCUGAGCCUGGUUCUGGUCCUGAUAUUCCUGGCCCAGACACUGCUGCCGGUCCUGGCGCUGCCUCUGGUUUGGACGCGGCCCGUGGUCCUGGCGCUCCUGUUUCUGGCGCUGUCCGUGGUCCUGACGCUGUCCGUGGUCCUGACACUGUUGUUGGUCUUGACGCUGCUGCCUCUGGUCCUGACUCUGCUACUGGUCUUGACACUGCCCAUGGUCCUGGCGCUCCUAGUUCUGGUGCUGUCCGUGGUUCUGACGCCACUGGUCCUGACGCUGUCCGUGGUUUUGACGCUGCUGCUUACUCCUCUGCUAGCACUCUGAGCUCUGCUCAGCCAGCUUUUCUCGUCCACGGGUCUAGAGGACUUCUCUCUGAGGCUUAAUGGCCUGAGACAAGCGUUUGCAGUCUUGCUCACCGAGGAGCCGAAUGCUAACUUCAUCACUGUGGCAGGGAAGAUGAUCUUGCGCACCAUGGCUGCUCUCAAUGGACAGGUAGCAUUCUUAGGUUGCAUUUAGUCUCACAGGACCAGAUGUGACCUUGACACGCAAGAAUAAAUCAGUCAAUUGGGUGACUGAGUGCACAUCUGAAAUGUAUGCCAGGCAAGUCCAGAGUUAACUGAACAGAUGUUCUCUCCCUUCCCCCCUUUUUUCACUUUCCUCCAGGAUGCUGGUGUGUUUCAACAGGCCUUUGACCAGCUGGUGGCCUUUGCCCAGACUCCUGGUCAUGAGACUGAGCUGCUGGUGGUUCAGGUAUGUCAGGUUGCU